Molecule: long non-coding RNA, 445 nt
Filed under: Daphnia magna
Lineage: Eukaryota; Metazoa; Arthropoda; Branchiopoda; Diplostraca; Daphniidae
Description: uncharacterized LOC116929507
Source: RNAcentral
UAUGGGUAUGUCAGCUGUCCCGUCAGCUGUUUCAUUUCGCGUGGCUUCGGAUUGAGGAUGGAUGCUUAAACGAAUGUAUCUGUUCUUGAAAUUUCACCACCGAUUCCGUGUGUUUUGAGCUGCGUCUUGUGAAUUCGAUAAAUGCAGAGUUUUUCAAGGAGGAGCAUGGUUUGGCUUUGCUAGCACGUUUUUCAUCUUCGUUAGUCUAAUACACUCAUUUUGACCAAGGUCUUCGGGAUGUACCUGAUGUACUGUGGUGGCCACAGAAUCAUUCAGUGACUUCGUUCAAUCCAGGACUUGGUUUUUUCAAAAGUGGUUUACAGUUUUCAUUUGCAGAGAUCCUUGAGGUACCUGAUGUGUUGCAUUGGCAUUGCAGUUAUUCGAUGACAGAAUGGAAUGCCACCAAUGUUAUGUUGUCAGUGUAAAUAAAAUGUAUUCAGUAUCA